This 460-nucleotide ribosomal RNA is filed under the name uncultured bacterium. Its description in RNAcentral is "partial 16S ribosomal RNA". It matches the Rfam family "Bacterial small subunit ribosomal RNA", at positions 338 to 795 of the family's 1533-position model. The record is from RNAcentral.
CCUACGGGAGGCAGCAGUGAGGAAUAUUGGUCAAUGGACGGAAGUCUGAACCAGCCAUGCCGCGUGCAGGAAGACGGCUCUAUGAGUUGUAAACUGCUUUUGUACGAGCGUAAACCUUAAUACGUGUAUUCCGCUGAACGUCCUCUACGAAUAAGGAUCGGCUAACUCCGUGCCAGCAGCCGCGGUAAUACGGAGGAUCCAAGCGUUAUCCGGAUUUAUUGGGUGUAAAGGGUGCGUAGGCGGAAUGAUAAGUUAGAGGUGAAAUGGCCGGGCUUAACUCGGGACCUGCCUUUAAUACUGUUGAUCUAGAGAGUAGAUGCGGUAGGCGGAAUGUAUGGUGUAGCGGUGAAAUGCUUAGAGAUCAGACAGAACACCGAUUGCGAAGGCAGCUUACCAAACUAUAUCUGACGUUGAGGCACGAAAGCGUGGGGAGCAAACAGGAUUAGAUACCCUGGUAGUC